AGGAGAAGAAAAGAAGAAGAAGAAGAAGAAGUGGUGGAGAAGAAAAGAAAUAGCAGCAAGAAAAAGAGGAGAAAGUCGAGGAAGAAGAGGAGAAGAAGAAGACGAAAAAGGAAAUGAAGGAAUUAGAAGAAGAAGAAGAGGAGGAGAAGAAAAGAAGAAGAAGAAGAAUAAGAAUAAGAAGAAGAAGAAGAAGAAUAAAAAGA
This 203-nucleotide long non-coding RNA is filed under the name Hordeum vulgare. RNAcentral's name for it is "long non-coding RNA (HVUL_LNC009785)". Lineage: Eukaryota; Viridiplantae; Streptophyta; Magnoliopsida; Poales; Poaceae. The record is from RNAcentral.